GUUGGCAAGCUUGGCAGGAUAUGAACUUUUAACAAAAAUGGGGCACAGUUGUACUGCCAUGGCUUCUCGGUUUGAUCGGGGAGCAGAAAGACUUGGUGUUACGGAAUAGAACAAUGCAGAUCCAGCCUGGAAAUAUGCCUAUUUUAAAAGAACCGCCAAGCAAGCAAGCAAGCAAGCAAUCUAAAAGAGAGGUGGAAAGAAUGUAAGACCCAGAGAAUGAGGAGUGCUGUGAAAUGCUGUCUCUGGGGCAUGACAUGGCCAUUGCAUCCAUGAGCUCCUUGCAGCUGUAACUGCCUGCACAAGAUCAAGUCAGCAUUCCAACAGCUAUGGCCUGGCAGCAUAAAGACUAUAACAGUGACAAAUUCAAGAAGAGGAGGAAGAGGAAGAAAAAGAAGAGGAGGCAGAGAAAGAAAGGAGGAAGAAGAGGAAGAGGAAGAAAAGGUAGAAAGGAGAAGGGGACUCACUACAGCAGCCACCUUCUGAGUCAGCUCCUCCAGGGACGCAAGCUGAAACCCAGGUGUCUUCUAGCUGAGCGGUUGAACGCUGGCUGGGGUGGGGUGGGGGAGGCACACGACACGAACGGUCGGACGGACAGACACGCAGGUGUUCCUGCGACCAGCUCUGUGCUGUGUCCAGUGUGAGCAAAUGAAGGUCUAUAGGCAGAG
RNAcentral lists this long non-coding RNA (665 nucleotides) under Cricetulus griseus (Chinese hamster). RNAcentral describes it as "lncRNA (ENSCGRG00015040190.1)". Lineage: Eukaryota; Metazoa; Chordata; Mammalia; Rodentia; Cricetidae. The record is from RNAcentral.